RNAcentral lists this ribosomal RNA (420 nucleotides) under Sorensenius sp. As038. Its description in RNAcentral is "partial 16S ribosomal RNA". It matches the Rfam family "Bacterial large subunit ribosomal RNA", at positions 1889 to 2600 of the family's 2925-position model. The record is from RNAcentral. Lineage: Eukaryota; Metazoa; Arthropoda; Arachnida; Opiliones; Pyramidopidae.
GGUUACUUAAAUUUUCAUAAGUAAUCCCCCCUGCCCACUGUUCCCCAUCAACGGCUGCAGUACCCUGACUGUACAAAGGUAGCAUAAUCAUUAGUCUUUUAAUUGAAGACUCGUAUGAAAGGGAAUCACUGAGAAUAAAGUUUUCUUCCAACACCUCAAAUCUUAACUAUAAUUCAAAAUGAUUAUAUCACUCUCAAGGACGAGAAGACCCUAAGAGCUUACAAAUCGAAAUUUUCUAUUGGGGAAAUAACUAAAGAAACUGAUCUUUACCACCAACCAAGUUACCUUAGGGAUAACAGCGUCAUCCAUCUCAAGAGUUCUUAUCCACAGAUGAUAUUGCGACCUCGAUGUUGAAUUAAAUCUUUAUUUAAGGUGAAGAAGCUUUAACUUUCUAGUCUGUUCGACUAAUAAAAAUUUACA